GCUUGGAUGGCUCAGUUGGUUAGAGCGCAGGUCUCAUAUUUCAAAUAUGACCGCCUUCUGGGUGGGUAAUCCUGAGGUCGUGAGUUCGAUCCUCACUCCGAGCA
Molecule: non-coding RNA, 104 nt
Organism: Cubamyces sp. BRFM 1775
Lineage: Eukaryota; Fungi; Basidiomycota; Agaricomycetes; Polyporales; Polyporaceae
Source: the annotation of a GenBank genome assembly